GACGAACGCUGGCGGCGUGCCUAAUACAUGCAAGUAGAACGCUGAAGAGAGGAGCUUGCUCUUCUUGGAAGAGUUGCGAACGGGUGAGUAACGCGUAGGUAACCUGCCUUGUAGCGGGGGAUAACUAUUGGAAACGAUAGCUAAUACCGCAUAACAAUGGGUGACCCAUGUCAUUCAUUUGAAAGGGGCAACUGCUCCACUACAAGAUGGACCUGCGUUGUAUUAGCUAGUAGGUGAGGUAACGGCUCACCUAGGCGACGAUACAUAGCCGACCUGAGAGGGUGAUCGGCCACACUGGGACUGAGACACGGCCCAGACUCCUACGGGAGGCAGCAGUAGGGAAUCUUCGGCAAUGGGGGCAACCCUGACCGAGCAACGCCGCGUGAGUGAAGAAGGUUUUCGGAUCGUAAAGCUCUGUUGUAAGUCAAGAACGAGUGUGAGAGUGGAAAGUUCACACUGUGACGGUAGCUUACCAGAAAGGGACGGCUAACUACGUGCCAGCAGCCGCGGUAAUACGUAGGUCCCGAGCGUUGUCCGGAUUUAUUGGGCGUAAAGCGAGCGCAGGCGGUUUGAUAAGUCUGAAGUUAAAGGCUGUGGCUCAACCAUAGUUCGCUUUGGAAACUGUCAAACUUGAGUGCAGAAGGGGAGAGUGGAAUUCCAUGUGUAGCGGUGAAAUGCGUAAAUAUAUGGAGGAACACCGGUGGCGAAAGCGGCUCUCUGGUCUGUGACUGACGCUGAGGCUCGAAAGCGUGGGGAGCGAACAGG
Molecule: ribosomal RNA, 765 nt
Filed under: uncultured Streptococcus sp.
Lineage: Bacteria; Bacillati; Bacillota; Bacilli; Lactobacillales; Streptococcaceae
Description: bacterial SSU rRNA
Rfam family: Bacterial small subunit ribosomal RNA
Source: RNAcentral